GUGUGUUUAUUAGGAAAGACUAGAGCCUU
Molecule: non-coding RNA, 29 nt
Filed under: Rattus norvegicus (Norway rat)
Lineage: Eukaryota; Metazoa; Chordata; Mammalia; Rodentia; Muridae
Source: RNAcentral